GGGUAAAGCUCAAGUUUAAAACCUGUUUGUCCUAGACAAACCGGAUUGUAAACUAAGGACGUGCUAUCCAGGCUCUUUGGACCUUCAAGUCCUUUGGAAUAAGGCUUCACAGAGGGUGACAAUCCCGUAGAGGGUCUUGAAAGAGUCUAUUGCGAUGCAUGCUCCAAGAGUCAGGUUGUUUGGGAAUGCAGCCUAAAGUGGGAGGUAAAUCCCUCCUAAAGCUAAAUAUUGGCGAGAGACCGAUAGCAAACAAGUACCGUGAGGGAAAGUUGAAAAGGACUUUGAAAAGAGAGUCAAAAGUACGUGAAAUUGCUUAAAGGGAAGCGUUUGGAGCUAGUUUGGCUAGUCUGUUAUCAGCCUGAGCUUCGGCUUUGGUGUACUAUCAGGCUAUUUGCCGGCCAACUUUCAGGAUUGGAAGGAAAGCUUAGUGCUUUGGAGUCUAAAGAGACCUUUGCGGAAGCCUCUGGUGGAGCGUUGGUCUGCCUUGGCCCUUCUGAACCUAUAGUUGGCUUAAUGGCUCUAAACGGCCCG
RNAcentral lists this ribosomal RNA (531 nucleotides) under Rhizomucor pusillus. RNAcentral describes it as "partial large subunit ribosomal RNA". It matches the Rfam family "Eukaryotic large subunit ribosomal RNA", at positions 100 to 651 of the family's 3401-position model. The record is from RNAcentral. Lineage: Eukaryota; Fungi; Mucoromycota; Mucoromycetes; Mucorales; Lichtheimiaceae.